This is a long non-coding RNA of Pteropus alecto (black flying fox), 3012 nucleotides long. RefSeq lists it as uncharacterized. The transcript is spliced from 3 exons. The record is from RefSeq and is a predicted model, not a curated record. Lineage: Eukaryota; Metazoa; Chordata; Mammalia; Chiroptera; Pteropodidae.
UUCCGGGCGGGACCCGGGCGAGCGCUUCGUGCUUUACCCUCCUGGUCCGGGAAGCUUAGGAAUGGCGGGUGCCCUGAUCGAUUGGGCUCAUUAACGUUUGCAGUGGGCUUUGGUGUCUGCUUUAGAAUUAGCUGUUGAAAUCUUGGUAACGUGUCUUCUUUCCUGGUCUCUUUUUCUUGGACGAGCUUGAGCGUGUGGUGUUAAAAGCGAGGGUGAAAACCUCUGAGACCACCCUUCUCUUUUCACAUUACGUUUGGAAAAGCAUACUAGAUCUGAAGCUCCUGGGAUGGGGACACCGGCUAGCAUCCGAGAGAGCAUAAACCUAGUCUGACUUACUUUCCAGGUAGAAGUCCAAUGAAUAAUUGCAAUUUCGUGUGUCAAGGCUUUCCACGCUCUCCUUGCCAGAUGUGGGGACUUUUUUGUGUCCUUUCCCUUAUACUGUGGGUAAUGGCGUUUGCAGUGAAGCUAGUACAAAAUACAGUGUAGAGUAUGCAAAGAAUGUCUGUCCCUUCUUGUUAACACAGGGAUGCAGAUCUUGCUAGUGGUAACAAGAGAGGGGAGAGGAUACAUUCCUACCUGAGGUCAAGAUUUCUGUAUCCCUCUUCCAGUUUACAGACUGAUUCGACUACUUAAAAAAUUAAUAACCCAAAUACAGUAAAUUCUUAUGAUACAAUCAAUACUUAUAAAACAAAUAUUUAUAAUGCAUAAAUAAUGUACUAAUUUUAAUAACGUACUAACCUUAAUUAUUAAGCAAUACAGGUAUCUAGCCUGCAAGGCAGACGCAGCUCUGCCUUCAUUCAGUUUACAGUUUGGUGGAGUGUUACGUUCAGUCUGUUCAUCCACAGAGAAGUUGGAAGGAAGUCAACCAGUUUUUAUGUCAUCCCUGUGCCAGGUACUUUCAUAUGAUAUUUAAUCUUCACUAUUCUAUGAAAAAUCUUUCCUAACCUGGAAGAUAGGCAUCACUGUGCACGUUUUACAGAUGAGACGAUAGAGAUUCAGAGAAAUUUAGUCAUAAGAGCUAGUAAAUGGGAAAGAACGAACUUCCAAAAAGGUUGUGUGACUCUAAACUUGCGCCAUAUUCUGCUCAUCUCACACUGGCUCUCACAAGGUGGGCAGGUCCAGAGAAUGGGCCUGGAUGACUGUAAAAUCAGCAUUAGAGCCAGAAAAAAGCUUCGUGCCUUCCCUUAUUGAUUGAUUGUAGGCUUGACAGCGUCAUUUAUAUGAAGGACAGCAAAACUGUAGUGAGGUGUUCGACAGCAGCCCAAGUGCCUUUUAGGUAAUGAAGUAGAAAAUACAGAACUUGGGAAAGACAUAUUCUCUGUGUUCAGGUAACUGACAAAUGUGAAAGGCAAGAUGAAGGGCCAGGCACAUAAAUGAUUUGACUCGAAACAAAAUGUCUGAAAUGAUUAUAAACACACAGUUCAGGUGCUGAAAUGGGCCUACGAAUUUGAAAAAUCCCAUUUCCUCCUCCUCCCUUUUGCCUUGCCUAAGGGUGUGCAAUGAGGAAGUGCCUCACUGCCUGACAAUGAGGCUGACUCGGAGAACAGCUAUUUUCUGCUGGCUUCUGAGUCACUCUAAGAGUAGUCCUAGGGAAUCAGCUCCUCCCUCCUCCCCUCCUUCCUUUUAUAGCUGUUAACACACCACCACUCAUUCUACUCCAGGCUAUAGUGCUCUAUGGCCUACUCCCUUUACAUCAACUGUCAGCUCUCCUGACUCCCUCCUGCUUAUUGUGGGAGAACUAGCAAGAAGAUCACCUUUGCCCUGGAAGAUUCAGAAUCCUGAAGGGUUCAGAUUGCUUUUGUUAACAAAUGGUCUGGGCUACCAAUCCAAUGCCACCAGGAGUCCCCAGUCUGGGGUAUGGGUGUGAGGUGGGGUGAAGAAGAGGCUUUAUUCUGGUAAACUUUUUGCAAACUGGGGACAACGUAGUCUCUGCGGGAAAUAACAGCUCCAGGAAAAAAGCAGCCUAACGGAGAAAGGGAGAAGGGGAAACGGAAAGCACAGGCCCUGAGACAAAUGGCAUACUGCUGUCCUGAUGUAAACUGCUGCCCUGCUAUAAACUGCUGCCCUGAUCCUUGAUUGGUUCAUUUUUAUGCAAAUAAAGCAUCAAAAUGUUCACAAUUAGAUUGGUCCAAAUAGCACUGUCCUGAUUGGUCAGAAUCACACGUUCUGAUUGGUUGUAAUGGAGCCACUCUGAUUGGUUGGUAAAGAUGCAAAUGAGGCUAUGUCCCACAGCUCUGAUUGGAUAGGGUAGUCUCAGCCCAUUGGUUGAAAUUACGAUUUCAGGAACUCCUUUAUAAGGUUCCACUCAGACUUCUGGAAGGCGGUGCAGGAGGCAUGGCUUAGUCUGUGGCGGUGUACUUGAGGGGCCUCUGCAAACAAUGGUCGCUGGACUCUUGAUUAUGAAUUUGGGCCCACUUAACCACAAGGAGUCCUUUUUGACAGGUCCCUCCCAGCUCCUCUAGAAGUGGAUCCAUCCGGUGGUCGCAGUCUAGAAGCUGGAGAGGGCUCUCCAGGCGGAGAUGAGGCUGAAGCCGGAAGGAGGGUGGGCUCUCCAUGGCGCCCUGCAUUUCCCCCCAUCAUUUGUUUCCACGAAGGCCUUUCUGAGUAUUCCUGCAGCGUUCUCUUCCUUGCUUGAUCGGCUCUAUGAAGGAGACCCGGCCGGGGAGUGGAGAGAUUUCUGGGCGUGGCCCUCACUGCGUUCCUGAGCUUAUUGCUCCCUCUAGUGCUGAGCGCUCUAUGGUGUUCCUGUGGUUUUGUUCAUUAACGGCUGGAUCUCACAGCCUCAAGGAAGACACUUUGACUCCCUGGUCGGGCUUCCUCACUCUGGCUGUUCGGGACCCGCCUGCCUCCCGCCUGCUGCCUGAGCCCUUGACCUGCCAGGUAGGACUAUCCACGGCUUCAACCAGGGUUUAAGGGACAGAAUUAAACAUUUUAAGCCGUCUUGUAAUUCCUUACACUUACUUAAAACUCCAAGCUGUCAAGUAACAAGAUAAAUGUAUAGUUUAUCCAUCU